ACCAGCUCUUCACCCGUCCUGCUGCUGGUGGCUGAGAUGACCCUGCCGUGCACGGACCGGUGUGGAGCUCCCACAGACAGCAUGAGAGACCAAGAACAGGGGGGAACCAAGUGGCUAUUCAAUGAGUCUAGGAUGCUGAAUUCAAUUGCCCUUUCAGGAAGGUUAUGGAGAUGUGUGAACUUGCAACAGCCUGCACCUGAAACUGGAGCCUUUAUCCACCAAAGCAAACUCGUAACCUACCCCAGAAGAAGCUGCUGAUUCACGGGGCGAGGGUGGACGCUCUUCCAUGGCUGAGACACAACUGGGUGCCCAGCCCGGGCCUGCAUGGCCAUUGCUGCUGUUGGGCUCUGACAGACGCCUCCACUGAGGCUGCCUCUGCCCCAGUGCCUGUCCUGCCCACCCUGUGCCCCCCGUACCUGACCCACAGGUGAUGCUGUGCCCAAUAGCAAGAGGCAAAGCCACCUGUGCUGCUGCAAAGAGUGCAGAGACUGUCACCCUGGUCAAGGGCCCAGCCACAGAAGAAUAAGCUGCAUUUAUUUGCUUGAAGAGCAUUUAGGGAUGUACCAUGUCUUAAAAUACAAGAAUUCUGAAUUAAACAUGAACUAUGGCUGUCCCGGUGCAGCCAAGGAGCCUGGGGACUGGCAGCAGUGGCAGGGCGGCUGCCAGCUGUUAUCUCGGGCGACAGGAGGAAGCAUGUAGUGUUCACUGUGACUCAUUUAUGGUGGUGUUUGCAGUGCAAAGCACUGUUAGUGGCAAGCUGGUGGGCUCACCUGAGCUUACAGCAACCUUUUCUGACCAGUAGGGCAAGGUCCAUUGGAAGAGAGUCUGUAAUAUUCAGCUGCCAAGUGUCUCAAAAAGAAAAAUGUAGAUUUCCAGCUAAAUAAUAAUAAAAGUGGGUUGAUUGAUAAAGCUAUCUGAACU
This 921-nucleotide long non-coding RNA is filed under the name Calidris pugnax (ruff). Its description in RNAcentral is "lncRNA (ENSCPUG00000009361.1)". The record is from RNAcentral. Lineage: Eukaryota; Metazoa; Chordata; Aves; Charadriiformes; Scolopacidae.